UACUGCUAGCUUCCUGGCCCUAACCUUG
This 28-nucleotide small RNA is filed under the name Bombyx mori (domestic silkworm). RNAcentral's name for it is "ovarian small RNA-21504". Lineage: Eukaryota; Metazoa; Arthropoda; Insecta; Lepidoptera; Bombycidae. The record is from RNAcentral.